This 394-nucleotide ribosomal RNA is filed under the name uncultured bacterium. Its description in RNAcentral is "partial 16S ribosomal RNA". It matches the Rfam family "Bacterial small subunit ribosomal RNA", at positions 523 to 918 of the family's 1533-position model. The record is from RNAcentral.
AUACGGAGGGUGCGAGCGUUAUCCGGAUUUAUUGGGUUUAAAGGGUGCGCAGGCGGGAAUUUAAGCGUGAGGUGAAAUGCCAUGGCUCAACCAUGGAACUGCCUCGCGAACUGGACUCCUUGAAUGCUCCUGCCGUGGGGGGAAUGUGUGGUGUAGCGGUGAAAUGCAUAGUGAUCACACAGAACACCGAUUGCGAAGGCAUCUCACGAAGGGGCUAUUGACGCUGAGGCACGAAAGCGUGGGGAUCAAACAGGAUUAGAAACCCUGGUAGUCCGCGCAGUAAACGAUGAGGACUAACCGCCGGCGAUACACUGAUCGGUGGCCAAGCGAAAGCGAUAAGUCAUCCACCUGGGGAGUACGACCGCAAGGUUGAAACUCAAAUGAAUUGACGGGG